UUGGAGGGCAAGUCUGGUGCCAGCAGCCGCGGUAAUUCCAGCUCCAAUAGCGUAUAUUAAAGUUGUUGCAGUUAAAAAGCUCGUAGUUGAAUUUCGGGGUCAGUAGGUUGGUCAUGCCACUGGUAUGUACUGGUCUCACUGAUUCCUCCUUCCUGAUGAGCCGUAAUGCCAUUAAUUUGGUGUUGCGAGGAAUCUGGACUGUUACUUUGGAAAAAUUAGAGUGUUUAAAGCAAGCUAACGCUUGAAUACAUUAGCAUGGAAUAAUGAAAUAGGACGUUCGAUCCUAUUUUGUUGGUUUCUAGGAUUGACGUAAUGAUUAAUAGGGAUAGUUGGGGGCAUUAGUUUUCAAUUGUCAGAGGUGAAAUUCUUGGAUUUAUUGAAGACUAACUACUGCGAAAGCAUUUGCCAAGGAUGUUUUCAUUAAUCAAGAACGAAAGUUAGGGGAUCGAAGACGAUCAGAUACCGUCGUAGUCUUAACCAUAAACUAUGCCGACUAGGGAUCGGAUGAUGUUAAUUUUUUAAUGACUCAUUCGGCGCCUUACGGGAAAC
Molecule: ribosomal RNA, 549 nt
Filed under: uncultured Glomeromycotina
Lineage: Eukaryota; Fungi; Glomeromycota
Description: SSU rRNA
Rfam family: Eukaryotic small subunit ribosomal RNA
Source: RNAcentral